UACGAAGGUCCCUAGCGUUGUUCGGAAUUACUGGGCGUAAAGGGCGCGUAGGCGGACCAGCCAGUCAGGGGUGAAAUCCCGGGGCUCUACCUCGGAAUUGCCUUUGAUACUGUUGGUCUUGAGGACGGGAGAGGGUCGUGGAAUUCCCAGUGUAGAGGUGAAAUUCGUAGAUAUUGGGAAGAACACCGGUGGCGAAGGCGGCGACCUGGACCGUAUCUGACGCUGAGGCGCGAAAGCAUGGGGAGCAAACAGG
This 253-nucleotide unclassified non-coding RNA is filed under the name uncultured Alphaproteobacteria bacterium. RNAcentral describes it as "contains 16S-23S intergenic spacer region". It matches the Rfam family "Bacterial small subunit ribosomal RNA", at positions 524 to 776 of the family's 1533-position model. Lineage: Bacteria; Pseudomonadati; Pseudomonadota; Alphaproteobacteria. The record is from RNAcentral.